RNAcentral lists this ribosomal RNA (522 nucleotides) under Penicillium chrysogenum. RNAcentral describes it as "eukaryotic LSU rRNA". The stretch from base 153 to 305 matches the Rfam family "5.8S ribosomal RNA". Lineage: Eukaryota; Fungi; Ascomycota; Eurotiomycetes; Eurotiales; Aspergillaceae. The record is from RNAcentral.
ACCUCCCACCCGUGUUUAUUUUACCUUGUUGCUUCGGCGGGCCCGCCUUAACUGGCCGCCGGGGGGCUUACGCCCCCGGGCCCGCGCCCGCCGAAGACACCCUCGAACUCUGUCUGAAGAUUGUAGUCUGAGUGAAAAUAUAAAUUAUUUAAAACUUUCAACAACGGAUCUCUUGGUUCCGGCAUCGAUGAAGAACGCAGCGAAAUGCGAUACGUAAUGUGAAUUGCAAAUUCAGUGAAUCAUCGAGUCUUUGAACGCACAUUGCGCCCCCUGGUAUUCCGGGGGGCAUGCCUGUCCGAGCGUCAUUGCUGCCCUCAAGCACGGCUUGUGUGUUGGGCCCCGUCCUCCGAUCCCGGGGGACGGGCCCGAAAGGCAGCGGCGGCACCGCGUCCGGUCCUCGAGCGUAUGGGGCUUUGUCACCCGCUCUGUAGGCCCGGCCGGCGCUUGCCGAUCAACCCAAAUUUUUAUCCAGGUUGACCUCGGAUCAGGUAGGGAUACCCGCUGAACUUAAGCAUAUCAAUA